This 760-nucleotide ribosomal RNA is filed under the name uncultured prokaryote. RNAcentral describes it as "bacterial SSU rRNA". It matches the Rfam family "Bacterial small subunit ribosomal RNA", at positions 708 to 1482 of the family's 1533-position model. The record is from RNAcentral.
UCCGAUUGNGAAGGCAGCUUGCUGGACUGUAACUGACGCUGAGGCACGAAAGCGUGGGGAUCAAACAGGAUUAGAUACCNNGGUANNCCACGCCGUAAACGAUGANUGCUAGCUGUUAGCGAUAUACUGUUAGCGGCACAGAGAAAUCGUUAAGCAUUCCACCUGGGGAGUACGCCGGCAACGGUGAAACUCAAAGGAAUUGACGGGGGCCCGCACAAGCGGAGGAACAUGUGGUUUAAUUCGAUGAUACGCGAGGAACCUUACCUGGGCUUAAAUUGCAGUGGAAUAACGUGGAAACAUGUUAGCCUUCGGGCCGCUGUGAAGGUGCUGCAUGGUUGUCGUCAGCUCGUGCCGUGAGGUGUCGGCUUAAGUGCCAUAACGAGCGCAACCCUCAUCGAUAGUUACUAACAGGUUAAGCUGAGGACUCUAUCGAGACUGCCGACGUAAGUCGUGAGGAAGGUGGGGAUGACGUCAAAUCAGCACGGCCCUUACGUCCAGGGCUACACACGUGUUACAAUGGGGGGUACAAAGGGCAGCUACCUGGCGACAGGAUGCUAAUCUCAAAAACCUCUCUCAGUUCGGAUUGGAGUCUGCAACCCGACUCCAUGAAGCUGGAUUCGCUAGUAAUCGCGCAUCAGCCACGGCGCGGUGAAUACGUUCCCGGGCCUUGUACACACCGCCCGUCAAGCCAUGGGAGCCGGGGGGACCUGAAGUAUGCAACCGUAAGGAGCGUCCUAGGGUAAAACUGGUGACUGGGGCU